UACGAAGGGGGCUAGCGUUGCUCGGAUUUACUGGGCGUAAAGGGCGCGUAGGCGGCCAGUUAAGUUGGGGGUGAAAGCCCGGGGCUCAACCUCGGAAUUGCCUUCAAUACUGGCUGUCUUGAGUGUGAGAGAGGUGUGUGGAACUCCGAGUGUAGAGGUGAAAUUCGUAGAUAUUCGGAAGAACACCAGUGGCGAAGGCGGCUUCCUGGCCUGUUCUUGACGCUGAGGCGCGAAAGCUAGGGGAGCAAACGGG
This 253-nucleotide ribosomal RNA is filed under the name uncultured bacterium. RNAcentral's name for it is "partial 16S ribosomal RNA". It matches the Rfam family "Bacterial small subunit ribosomal RNA", at positions 524 to 776 of the family's 1533-position model. The record is from RNAcentral.